This 774-nucleotide ribosomal RNA is filed under the name uncultured Neocallimastigales. RNAcentral describes it as "partial large subunit ribosomal RNA". It matches the Rfam family "Eukaryotic large subunit ribosomal RNA", at positions 24 to 644 of the family's 3401-position model. Lineage: Eukaryota; Fungi; Neocallimastigomycota; Neocallimastigomycetes; Neocallimastigales. The record is from RNAcentral.
UAUCUCUGUAGAGUCUGCAUAUCAAUAAGCGGAGGAAAAGAAACUAACAAGGAUUCCCUUAGUAACGGCGAGUGAAGCGGGAAGAGCUCAAAUUUGAAAUCUUCAAGGUUUUACCUUGACGAAUUGUAGUUUAAAGAAGUGUUUUCUGUUAGAUGAGUAGCAAAAGUUCCUUGGAAUGGGACAUCAUAGAGGGUGAGAAUCCCGUAUUUGGUUAUUCAUUCUAGCUUUGUGAUACACUUUCAAAGAGUCGGAUUGUUUGGGAAUGCAGUCCAAAAUGGGUGGUAAAUUUCAUCUAAAGCUAAAUAUUGGCGAGAGACCGAUAGCGAACAAGUACCGUGAGGGAAAGAUGAAAAGAACUUUGAAAAGAGAGUUAAACAGUACGUGAAAUUGUCAAAAGGGAAGCGUUUGACACCAGUGUUGUUUUUCCGAAAAUCAAUUACGAAUGGCUUGAUUUUGUGUUGUAUUGACCUUAUCAGCUUUCUUCACUUUUUUCGAGUCUUUCUUAAUGCACUUUUCGGUUAACAAGUCAACAUCAAUUUCUUUUGUUGUAAAAGAGUAUUCGGAAGGUGGCUUUCUUUUCGGAGAAAGUGUUUAUAGCCCUAUACUUCUACAAUCGGAGAGAUUGAGGUCUGCAGCGUAGAUCCUUCGGGGUUAGAUACACUUGUGCUAAGUUGUAGCUUUUCAUAGACAACUUGUUGACUAUGUUUAGUCAUGCGGCUUACUCGCUUAUGCUAUUUUACCUACGCUUAGGAUGUUGACUGAUAUGUAGUCGUA